RNAcentral lists this ribosomal RNA (264 nucleotides) under uncultured bacterium. Its description in RNAcentral is "partial 16S ribosomal RNA". It matches the Rfam family "Bacterial small subunit ribosomal RNA", at positions 1239 to 1500 of the family's 1533-position model. The record is from RNAcentral.
ACAACGAGUCGCAAGCUCGCGAGAGUAAGCUAAAUCUCUUAAAGCCGUUCUCAGUUCGGACUGUAGGCUGCAACUCGCCUACACGAAGUCGGAAUCGCUAGUAAUCGCGGAUCAGCAUGCCGCGGUGAAUACGUUCCCGGGCCUUGUACACACCGCCCGUCACACCAUGGGAGUUUGUAACGCCCAAAGUCGGUGGCCUAACCUUUAUGGAGGGAGCCGCCUAAGGCGGGACAGAUGACUGGGGUGAAGUCGUAACAAGGUAUC